The sequence is a ribosomal RNA, 629 nucleotides long. It matches the Rfam family "Bacterial small subunit ribosomal RNA", at positions 46 to 688 of the family's 1533-position model.
GCUUAACACAUGCAAGUCGAACGAUGAAGCCCAGCUUGCUGGGUGGAUUAGUGGCGAACGGGUGAGUAACACGUGAGUAACCUGCCCUUAACUCUGGGAUAAGCCUGGGAAACUGGGUCUAAUACCGGAUAGGAGCGUCCACCGCAUGGUGGGUGUUGGAAAGAUUUAUCGGUUUUGGAUGGACUCGCGGCCUAUCAGCUUGUUGGUGAGGUAAUGGCUCACCAAGGCGACGACGGGUAGCCGGCCUGAGAGGGUGACCGGCCACACUGGGACUGAGACACGGCCCAGACUCCUACGGGAGGCAGCAGUGGGGAAUAUUGCACAAUGGGCGCAAGCCUGAUGCAGCGACGCCGCGUGAGGGAUGACGGCCUUCGGGUUGUAAACCUCUUUCAGUAGGGAAGAAGCGAAAGUGACGGUACCUGCAGAAGAAGCACCGGCUAACUACGUGCCAGCAGCCGCGGUAAUACGUAGGGUGCGAGCGUUAUCCGGAAUUAUUGGGCGUAAAGAGCUCGUAGGCGGUUUGUCGCGUCUGUCGUGAAAGUCCGGGGCUUAACCCCGGAUCUGCGGUGGGUACGGGCAGACUAGAGUGCAGUAGGGGAGACUGGAAUUCCUGGUGUAGCGGUGGAAUG